AUACCUAUUAACCUUACACAAUACAUAAAUGAAUAAACUGAGACUGUCUAAGUUAAAAUAUUACGACCGUCACAUAUACGGAUAUAAAUCAGUCAAAUUAUGCUCAUUUUUACCGUUCAAAAACAGUCAAAUCUUCUUGAUUCAAGCCAGCCAACAGAGCAAUACAAAAUCGACAAUAAUAACAAGUUUUCGCGAUCCAAAAGCGUCCAAAACAGUGUACAAAACGACCAAUUUCCUUUUAAACAACUCAGUUCUCUCAAAACGUCACGACAACGUUUGUUCUUGAGCCCGCAGUAUAAUAAACGCAUACUUCAUGUAAAGUUUCUCAACGCCCGUCCAUCACUCCUCCCCAUCGUUCGUCUCGAUUUCAUUGGGGCGACGAUCGUAUCCGCAUUCCUCUUCGAGAAGACAUAAUUUCGUAACUGGUCUGGUAUAAACACCAUUGUUAGUCUUCACUUUAGCAGCUCGAACUCGUCCGUCUUUUCCAGGACAUGUUUCAACAACUCGUCCUAACUUCCACUCACCACGUAGAAGACCCGGAUCUGCUAUGAGAACAACGUCGUUAACUGAAAUGUUCCUUUCCUCGUUCCGCCACUUCUUCCGGGAGAUGAGAUUAGGCAGGUAGAGCUUCACCCACUGCUGCCACACGACAUUUGCUAAGUGCUGGGUCUGUUUGAAACGACCUUGAAAGUUUGGUCGGCUGUACUCUCCGAGUGGGACAACUGGCGAGCGUCGGUGUAACCAAAAGUGGUAGGGUGUCAGAGCCUCUAUGUCCUCAGGAUCGCUGCUGACGUAUGUUAUCGGUCGUGAAUUGACGAAUCGCUCGACUUCGGCAAAGAGAGCGGACAACUGCAAAUCUGUAGGGUUACUUCUCUUUGGUCCUCCUUUUGGAUUCAGGGUACGGUUAAGUGCUGUCUUGACUGACUUAACUAAGCUCUCGUGUACUCCUCCCCAGUGAGGGCUUGCAGGGGGUUGGAACUUCCAGGUGAUUCCUUCUCCAAUUCUAGCUAGGCGGGUUUGAAGUUCUUCACUAUGAUUUAGUUCUCUAACCAUCGACUUCAAUUCAGAGACUGCGCCGACGAAGUUCGUCCCGUUGUCACUGUAGAUAGAUCUUGGCUCUCCACGCCUCGCCAUCAUCUUGUGAAGAGCUUGUAGGAAGUCAGGGGUGGAUAACGAUUCAGCAACUUCCAAAUGAACACAUCGAGUCGUCAUGCAUGUAAACAGGGCGCCGUAUCUCUUCGCUUUCGUGUUUCGAGUCAACUUGACUUCGAUUGGCCCGAAGUAAUCCACAGAAGUGUGGUAAAAUGCUGGUUGCAUGGCAGUUAUUCUUUCGAUAGGAAGUUCACUUAGUAACUGACUGCCAGGCUUCGCUCGUUCUUUCUUACACUGGGUGCACUUUCUCUUGAAACUCUUGACUUCCUGUCGUCCGCGAAUUAUCCAGAACUUUUGACGAAUUGCGGCCAAAACGUGGUCAGU
Non-coding RNA from Paramuricea clavata, 1476 nucleotides. The record is from the annotation of a GenBank genome assembly. Lineage: Eukaryota; Metazoa; Cnidaria; Anthozoa; Malacalcyonacea; Plexauridae.